GAAAGUCAACUAUGGUUCUUGAACCAGAAUGGGCUUCCAUAACUUAUAAAAAGGAGCAUCUCUUACCCAUCAUCUCACCACAUCCAGAGCGAGCAAGCAUUCUCAGUCUCUGCUGGAACCAUCAAUUUCAAGCUCUGUUAAGCUCUGUUCUCCCAUCUCCUUCCUCUUUCUCCUCUGGCAAACCCUCGAAGAGCACGACGAAGCUUUCGUCAAGCAACUGGAAAUUUGCUCAAC
RNAcentral lists this long non-coding RNA (234 nucleotides) under Prunus persica (peach). RNAcentral describes it as "long non-coding RNA (PPER_LNC000574)". The record is from RNAcentral. Lineage: Eukaryota; Viridiplantae; Streptophyta; Magnoliopsida; Rosales; Rosaceae.